AAAUGCGAUAAGUAAUGUGAAUUGCAGAAUUCAGUGAAUCAUCGAAUCUUUGAACGCACAUUGCGCCCGCCAGUAUUCUGGCGGGCAUGCCUGUUCGAGCGUCAUUUCAACCAUCAAGCCCCCGGCUUGUGUUGGGGACCUGCGGCUGCCCGCAGGCCCUGAAAACCAGUGGCGGGCUCGCUGUCACACCGAGCGUAGUAGCAACAUCUCGCUCAGGGCGUGCUGCGGGUUCCGGCCGUUAAAGGCCUUUUACACCCAAGGUUGACCUCGGAUCAGGUAGGAAGACCCGCUGAACUUAAGC
Molecule: unclassified non-coding RNA, 301 nt
Filed under: plant metagenome
Description: partial contains 5.8S ribosomal RNA, internal transcribed spacer 2, and large subunit ribosomal RNA
Rfam family: 5.8S ribosomal RNA (bases 1-104)
Source: RNAcentral